ACCACUUAAUCAAGGUAGGAUUGACCCAGUAUUUAUAUAAUAGAUUAUCUCUGUCAUCAAUCGAUAGCAGCAUCUCAGAGUUGAAUUAUUGGCUGGUACAUGGCCAGCGAUUGCCACGAUUGACUUUGAUAUUUGAGAGAUAGCAUCGAUCCUAGCUGUUCCUGUCACCGACUGCAGCACAACCCUCUCACCGACUGCCCACCCGCUCAUCGAUUCCUCUUCCAACCUCCGAAGUGCAGCCCUGCCGUCAACCUUCGGUGGCGCUCCGGCACAACGCUGGGAGAAAAAGACGAUUUUUAGCUAGGUGAUAUAAGUUGUUCCUGAUUCAUUGUACAUACACUCAAGUAUGAGCUGCAGCCAUUCAUAUUGCCGGCUCCGGCGGCCCCGCUGGAGGACGAGAACAUCCUCCAGGAGAUCCUCCUCCGCCUCCCUCCACAGCCAUCCUCCCUUCAACACACCUCGCUCGUCUGCCCUCGCUGGCGCUGCAUGCUCUCUGACCCCAAGUUCCUCACCCACUUUCGCAGACACCACAAGAAACCUCCAAUCAUUGGCUUCUUCGUCGAAGAAUGGGGCAUGCCCACCAUCUUCAAACCAGUAGAUCCACCCCAUCACAUCCCUGUCGAGCGCUUCUCCAUGCCCAAGGCCAGCAAACCCUACGCUAGCUGGGACUUGCUCGGCUGCCGCCAUGGCCUUGCCGUCCUAGUCAAUAUGUGGCAGCAUCGCCAGAUCAUUGUGUGGGAUCCCCUCUCUGGUCAACAACACCGCGUGAAUUUUCCACCAGGGCUUGAUAACAAUGAAGUGGCGUUCUGGCAUGCCUCGGUGAUGUGUGCAGAUGAUCAAGAUGGGCACGUGCACGGCGAUUGCUUCUCGAGCCCGUUCAAAUUGGUCUUGAUCUGGGUUGUCAGACACAAGCAAGCAUCUGCUUGCCUACACGAAUCCGCAUCUGGUGUAUGGGGAGAGAUUGUCAUGGAAAUUACAAAUCAAAUUUAUUUCAUAAGUCCUGGUGUCUUUGCUGGAAAAUGAACUUUGUUGGUUGCUUAGUGGAGUUGGCGUCCUUGUGUUUGAUCUUGAAAAUCAGAACCUUGGUGUGGUUAAGAACCUAGCAUGUAUUACUGUGUCCAUCGGAUCUGUUCAGCUCAUACGGACAAAGGAUAGUAGACUUGGCCUAGCAUACUUGUCUAGACAGACCAUUCAAUUAUGGGAGCGGAAAUCGGACUAUGAUGGUGUUGUCAGAUGGGUUCUUCUGCAAACAACCAUUCAACUGGAGGAGCUCUUUCCACAGAUGUUUUUUUUUGAACAGAUGUUUAUGGAUGAAGAAAGUGUAAGAAAAAAGGGGUAUAAUGAAAAAUCAGUAGAAAUAAAGGUCUAUGAUGGCAACACAAAUGUCAUUGUUCUUUCUACGAUUAGAGGUGACUUGACGCUCGAAGUUGACAUGAUGGAGAUCAAACACGUUAUUAAAAGAAAUUUCAAGUCUUCGAACACCUACUAUCCCUAUGUGAAUUUCUAUACCGCAGGUAAUUCCUCCCUAUCUACAUUGCACAAGCAAAACAAAAUCUAGAUAGAUUGUUUUGCCAAGAUUCAUUAAGAUAAUUUUGGUACCUGAUUCAUGAAAUAUUCCUCAUGUAAUUAAAGAUUGACUAGAUAUAUAAGAAUAUGCUCGGUAUGAUGAUCAUGUAGUGAUGUAAUUUAUUAGUUUAAAAUGGGGCUAUAUUGAAGGUAGGACAUUAAUGCAAAUUUUACUAUGUUGCAUUCCCAUUGCUAACAUGCUAACUUGUUGCGUACCCACUGCUACUUGCACUUAUCUAUAAUUAUUCACUAGGAGUUUCAUGUAAUCUGAAAAUGGCACCAAUUUCACAGAAAAUGAUAUAUUGAAACUAUAUGUUAUCUUGAAUAGCAAUUCUUCUGGCACAAUUGGAGGCUUAAAUCUUUUUAUGUGCUCCAGUUCAUUUAUUAUUCUUCAAAAA
Aegilops tauschii subsp. strangulata is the source of this 1964-nucleotide non-coding RNA. Lineage: Eukaryota; Viridiplantae; Streptophyta; Magnoliopsida; Poales; Poaceae. The record is from RefSeq and is a predicted model, not a curated record.